Long non-coding RNA from Amphiprion ocellaris (clown anemonefish), 1527 nucleotides. NCBI's taxonomy places the organism in Eukaryota, Metazoa, Chordata, Actinopteri, Pomacentridae. The record is from Ensembl.
GUUCCAUAAGGGUCCUGUGGGGGCAGCAGCAGGCCUCUGCUGCAGAUUCACUAGAAGAAGAAGGAGGCAGCUAGCUGAAUCUUCAUGAAGCUGAGGAGCAGAUGUUCGUCUGAAGAAGUUUCUGCUGUUCAGGAACACUGAGGAAAGUGGUAUCAGAUUGGGAGUCCAUAUCUGCAGAUGUGAAAUAUUAAAGGACUUGGGUCGGCUCGUGGGCAAAAGACUUGAUUGGGACAUCCCUACAACAGAGACGUAUGUGAUGGGAUUAUAAGAGAAGACAGGACUUUACAACUGUGGAAACAACAGAAGCAAAGUAAUCUAAGUCUCAAAUUAGGUUUUGGUGAUCUGACGAUCUUAUAUCAUGGACAAUCUUAACUUGGCCCACGGUCUGCUUUUCAGAGGAGCAUGGGACGCUGUUAAUGUCACACUGAUGUCGCACUUUCCUGGUCCACCAGGUGACUGUUGUGGUGGGCCUCUAUAUCAUUCAUCUGCCUCUCCAGUGAGUCUUAACACCAACCAGACCCUGCAGCAGGUGAAGAACUGGGUCACCAAGCUCACAGAGAACACAAUAAAAUCCACUCGUGAUGAGAUAGCUGGUUAUCAUAGCCAGCUGGAGUAGAAGAAGGAAGAGUUGGAAUCCUUGAUGAGAGACUCACUGGAGGGGUGGCUGAAUGAGGGCCACCACAACAAUGAACUGAACAAUGGGCGGCUGUGGCUGAGGUGGUAGAGCGGGUCGUCCAAUGAUCGAAGGGUCGGUGGUUCGAUUCCCUCUCUAUCCUAGUCACUUUACCCACCUUGCCUCCAGUGCAGCUACUCACACUGGUAUGAAUGUGUGUGAAUGUUGGUGGUGGUCGGAGCCACGCUUCCGUCAGUCUGCCCCAGGGCAGCUGUGGCUACAGAUGUAGUUUACCACCACCAGAGUGAGAAUGUGUGAGUGAAUGAAUACUGGAUCCAUUGUAUGCGUUUUGAGUGUCUUGAGUGUCUAGAAAAGCGCUAUAUAAAUCUAAUCCAUUAUUAUUAAUGAUUCUGCUCCAAAAGAUUGUCACAUGGUAUUUUGGUUAGAUUGCCCGCCUCUAAUCUGUCAUGCUUGGUUGGUCAAAGAAGAGAAGAACCUUUGCUUGACUUUCGUCGCAUUGCAAUGUCAUCUGGUCAAAGUGUGGAGUCUGGCAGAAGUUGAGCCAGAGUCAUCUUUUUUUUUCUAGGAUACCAUCUUGUUGGUCUACCUUACCCAUAACUCAAGAAAUUGUGAAUUAGGGUUGAACGUGUACUUAUUAUUUAAGCUGUCUUCUCCUACUGGUGUUAUGCCUCAAAUUUCCGCCCUGCAUCAACUUGUGUCAUUUUUCUCUCUAUCUGUACAAAGAUGCUCCUUUUGGGUUCUUAUUUGCUAGGGAAUACUGAUGCAGUGUGUCCGACAGGAGGCACCAGAUGGGCAAAUCAAGACGACACCUUCCAGAUGAUGGACUUCUCUCACCCAAGAAACUGAUGACUCGUCCUGUUAAUUAACCCUUUGCUUUGUUUUUAACCUUUCAG